UACGGGGGGAGCAAGCGUUGUUCGGAUUUACUGGGCGUAAAGGGCGCGUAGGCGGUCAGCACAAGUCAGUUGUGAAAUCUCCGGGCUUAACUCGGAAAGGUCAACUGAUACUGUGCGACUAGAGUGCGGAAGGGGCAACUGGAAUUCUCGGUGUAGCGGUGAAAUGCGUAGAUAUCGAGAGGAACACCAGUGGCGAAGGCGAGUCCCUGGACAACUCCUGACACUGAGGCACGAAAGCUAGGGGAGCAAACAGG
This 254-nucleotide ribosomal RNA is filed under the name uncultured bacterium. Its description in RNAcentral is "partial 16S ribosomal RNA". It matches the Rfam family "Bacterial small subunit ribosomal RNA", at positions 524 to 776 of the family's 1533-position model. The record is from RNAcentral.